AUGCAGUCGAGCGCACUCUUCGGAGUGAGCGGCGGACGGGUUAGUAACGCGUGGGAACAUACCCUUCUCUACGGAAUAGCCUCGGGAAACUGAGAGUAAUACCGUAUACGCCCUUCGGGGGAAAGAUUUAUCGGAGAAGGAUUGGCCCGCGUUAGAUUAGAUAGUUGGUGGGGUAAUGGCCUACCAAGUCUACGAUCUAUAGCUGGUUUUAGAGGACGAUCAGCAACACUGGGACUGAGACACGGCCCAGACUCCUACGGGAGGCAGCAGUGGGGAAUCUUAGACAAUGGGCGCAAGCCUGAUCUAGCCAUGCCGCGUGAGUGAAGAAGGCCCUAGGGUCGUAAAGCUCUUUCGCCAGGGAUGAUAAUGACAGUACCUGGUAAAGAAACCCCGGCUAACUCCGUGCCAGCAGCCGCGGUAAUACGGAGGGGGUUAGCGUUGUUCGGAAUUACUGGGCGUAAAGCGUACGUAGGCGGAUCAGAAAGUUGGGGGUGAAAUCCCAGGGCUCAACCCUGGAACUGCCUCCAAAACUCCUGGUCUUGAGUUCGAGAGAGGUGAGUGGAAUUCCAAGUGUAGAGGUGAAAUUCGUAGAUAUUUGGAGGAACACCAGUGGCGAAGGCGGCUCACUGGCUCGAUACUGACGCUGAGGUACGAAAGUGUGGGGAGCAAACAGGAUUAGAUACCCUGGUAGUCCACACCGUAAACGAUGAAUGCCAGUCGUCGGGCAGUAUACUGUUCGGUGACACACCUAACGGAUUAAGCAUUCCGCCUGGGGAGUACGGUCGCAAGA
This 790-nucleotide ribosomal RNA is filed under the name Sulfitobacter sp. RNAcentral describes it as "bacterial SSU rRNA". It matches the Rfam family "Bacterial small subunit ribosomal RNA", at positions 55 to 893 of the family's 1533-position model. Lineage: Bacteria; Pseudomonadati; Pseudomonadota; Alphaproteobacteria; Rhodobacterales; Roseobacteraceae. The record is from RNAcentral.